Molecule: ribosomal RNA, 845 nt
Filed under: Moesziomyces sp.
Lineage: Eukaryota; Fungi; Basidiomycota; Ustilaginomycetes; Ustilaginales; Ustilaginaceae
Description: partial large subunit ribosomal RNA
Rfam family: Eukaryotic large subunit ribosomal RNA
Source: RNAcentral
UAGUAACGGCGAGUGAAGAGGGAAGAGCCCAAGAUUGAAAGCUGGCGUCUUCGGCGUCCGCAUUGUAAUCUCAAGAAGUGUUUUCCGCUUCGGACCAAGCCUAAGUCCCUUGGAAAAGGGCAUCAUAGAGGGUGAUAAUCCCGUACAUGGCUUGGAGCGCCCGAAGCUUUGUGAUACGCUUUCUAAGAGUCGAGUUGUUUGGGAAUGCAGCUCAAAAUGGGUGGUAAAUGCCAUCUAAGGCUAAAUAUUGGGGAGAGACCGAUAGCGAACAAGUACAGUGAUGGAAAGAUGAAAAGAACUUUGAAAAGAGAGUUAAACAGUACGUGAAAUUGCCAAAAGGGAAGGGUAGGAGGUCAGAGAUGCGGCCUGGGAUUCAGCCUUGCUUUUGCUUGGUGUUUUUCCCAGAUUGCAGGCCAACGUCGGUUUUGGGCACUGGAGAAGGGUAGGAGGAACGUGGCACCUCUCGGGGUGUGUUAUAGCCUCCUACUGGAUACAGCGACCGAGACCGAGGACAGCAGCGUACUCGCAAGAGCGGGCCUUCGGGCACCUUUACGCUUAGGGCGUUGGCAUAAUGGCCCUCUACCACCCGUCUUGAAACACGGACCAAGGAGUCUAACAUGUAUGCGAGUCUUUGGGUGGCAAACCCAUAGGCGCAAUGAAAGUGAAUUCAGGUGGGAUCCGCAAGGUGCACCAUCGACCGAUCCUCACGUCUUUUAAGUCGUGGAUUUGAGUAAGAGCAUACCCUGUUGGGGACCCGAUAGGAGGGUGAACCUAUGCCCUGAAAUAGGGUGGAAGCCCAGAAGGAAACUCCUGGUGGGAGGCUCCGUAGCGGGUUCCUGACGGGG